ACCUGAUUGAUUUUGGUCGCCAACGAGUGGCGGACGGGUGAGUAACACGUAGGUAACCUGCCCAGAAGCGGGGGACAACAUUUGGAAACAGAUGCUAAUACCGCAUAACAGCGUUGUUCGCAUGAACAACGCUUAAAAGAUGGCUUCUCGCUAUCACUUCUGGAUGGACCUGCGGUGCAUUAGCUUGUUGGUGGGGUAACGGCCUACCAAGGCGAUGAUGCAUAGCCGAGUUGAGAGACUGAUCGGCCACAAUGGGACUGAGACACGGCCCAUACUCCUACGGGAGGCAGCAGUAGGGAAUCUUCCACAAUGGGCGCAAGCCUGAUGGAGCAACACCGCGUGAGUGAAGAAGGGUUUCGGCUCGUAAAGCUCUGUUGUUAAAGAAGAACACGUAUGAGAGUAACUGUUCAUACGUUGACGGUAUUUAACCAGAAAGUCACGGCUAACUACGUGCCAGCAGCCGCGGUAAUACGUAGGUGGCAAGCGUUAUCCGGAUUUAUUGGGCGUAAAGAGAGUGCAGGCGGUUUUCUAAGUCUGAUGUGAAAGCCUUCGGCUUAACCGGAGAAGUGCAUCGGAAACUGGAUAACUUGAGUGCAGAAGAGGGUAGUGGAACUCCAUGUGUAGCGGUGGAAUGCGUAGAUAUAUGGAAGAACACCAGUGGCGAAGGCGGCUACCUGGUCUGCAACUGACGCUGAGACUCGAAAGCAUGGGUAGCGAACAGGAUUAGAUACCCUGGUAGUCCAUGCCGUAAACGAUGAGUGCUAGGUGUUGGAGGGUUUCCGCCCUUCAGUGCCGGAGCUAACGCAUUAAGCACUCCGCCUGGGGAGUACGACCGCAAGGUUGAAACUCAAAGGAAUUGACGGGGGCCCGCACAAGCGGUGGAGCAUGUGGUUUAAUUCGAAGCUACGCGAAGAACCUUACCAGGUCUUGACAUCUUGCGCCAACCCUAGAGAUAGGGCGUUUCCUUCGGGAACGCAAUGACAGGUGGUGCAUGGUCGUCGUCAGCUCGUGUCGUGAGAUGUUGGGUUAAGUCCCGCAACGAGCGCAACCCUUGUUACUAGUUGCCAGCAUUAAGUUGGGCACUCUAGUGAGACUGCCGGUGACAAACCGGAGGAAGGUGGGGACGACGUCAGAUCAUCAUGCCCCUUAUGACCUGGGCUACACACGUGCUACAAUGGACGGUACAACGAGUCGCGAACUCGCGAGGGCAAGCAAAUCUCUUAAAACCGUUCUCAGUUCGGACUGCAGGCUGCAACUCGCCUGCACGAAGUCGGAAUCGCUAGUAAUCGCGGAUCAGCAUGCCGCGGUGAAUACGUUCCCGGGCCUUGUACACACCGCCCGUCACACCAUGAG
Molecule: ribosomal RNA, 1353 nt
Filed under: Limosilactobacillus fermentum
Lineage: Bacteria; Bacillati; Bacillota; Bacilli; Lactobacillales; Lactobacillaceae
Description: bacterial SSU rRNA
Rfam family: Bacterial small subunit ribosomal RNA
Source: RNAcentral